UCCAAACGAGCCAAAUAGUAAAAGUGUAGCGGUCCUGCCGACCGAAAGAAGCAUUCCCCUCCCCGUAUCGAAUAAUUCGAAAGAUCAAUGAUCACCAUUGAUCUAGGAAAGAACCCUUUUAUUUUUUCGAUGAUGUUCCACGCAAGUUGGUGGAUUUCAUCAGAUGUGGGUUUUCACUGUUAACUAGAAAACAAGCGGUGUAAGCAGAAGACUUACCUUACUGCUUGUUGCUCGUUAACGUGCUCCAAUGCCGGAGAAUGUUUUUGUUUUAAUUUUUGUUUUUGUGUCACCCGACAGCGCUGACUGAACGCCCCAACAAGGUCUCGGUCACAUGGCUGUACUAACUGAGCCAGAGCAACGCUCGUUCUGGCUUUUCUCUUUCUCUCUUUAUUUUCAGAUUGGGAGAUUGAGUUCCCCGCGGGAGCGCGAUAAAACGCCCCGAUCGCUGGCGGCGGGGGGUGCAGUUCUGACCGGAGGAGUCCGGUUGCAGUUCUGACGGUUCGUGGACGUUGCAGUUCUGACCGGAGGAGUCCGGGUGUGUACGACGCGUUGCAGUUCUGACCGGAGGAGUCCGGGUGUGUACGACGCGUUGCAGUUCUGACCGGAGGAGUCCGGUUGCAGUUCUGACGAUGUACGACGCGUGCUGUUCUGACGGUCCCCCAGUUCGGACGAGGUGUGCCGUUCGUUUUCGACAUUUUCGUUCAAAGUUCAGUGGGCAUUUUCUGCCAAAUUGACGAGCAGGCCAAUUCGGGUCGAGAGUGUUUGGUAGUGAUAUAAGGUGGAUAAAGUAUAGGUGGAUAAAGUAUAGGUGGAUAAAGUAUAUUUCGGGAAAUUGGAGGAACCACCCACAUACGCUAUCAGAAUCGAGGGUAAAGUGAAAGUGUCUCAAUCGAUUCCUUAAGAACGAUUCUAAGGGUGGAAAGCUAGUGAAUUGUGACGACCUUUUAGUAAUAAAUAAAAUUGUUAGAAGGAAA
Long non-coding RNA from Aedes aegypti (yellow fever mosquito), 974 nucleotides. RefSeq lists it as uncharacterized. The record is from RefSeq and is a predicted model, not a curated record. NCBI's taxonomy places the organism in Eukaryota, Metazoa, Arthropoda, Insecta, Diptera, Culicidae. The transcript is spliced from 2 exons.